This 115-nucleotide ribosomal RNA is filed under the name Danio rerio (zebrafish). The record is from RNAcentral. Lineage: Eukaryota; Metazoa; Chordata; Actinopteri; Cypriniformes; Danionidae.
GCCGGCAGCUUGCUCUCUGCAACUUUCACAUGAUUGCCCACUGAAGCUAAGCCGGGCUGCGUCCGGUUAGUACCUGGAUGGUAAACCACAUGGGAAAGCUAAGUUGCUGCAGGAA